Molecule: ribosomal RNA, 209 nt
Filed under: Strigamia maritima
Lineage: Eukaryota; Metazoa; Arthropoda; Chilopoda; Geophilomorpha; Linotaeniidae
Description: eukaryotic large subunit ribosomal RNA
Rfam family: Eukaryotic large subunit ribosomal RNA
Source: RNAcentral
AGUGUUAUACAAAAUUUGAAUAAAUUACUAAUAGGAUUUACAUCAAAAUAACUUAGAAAAAUAAAUUAUAUAAAAUUAAAUAAUUCUGAAAUUCGUACUCUCCAACAAAAUCGUCCGCAGACGACCUAGGUACUGGUCGGAGUGUCGUACUUAGUAGAGCAGCCACCACACUGCGAUCUAUUGAGACUCGGCCCGCGACCGGGGGAUUU